This is a long non-coding RNA of Nanorana parkeri, 251 nucleotides long. RefSeq lists it as uncharacterized. The transcript is spliced from 3 exons. The record is from RefSeq and is a predicted model, not a curated record. NCBI's taxonomy places the organism in Eukaryota, Metazoa, Chordata, Amphibia, Anura, Dicroglossidae.
UAAAGGAGACUUUGAGAUUAUACUCACCAGCUCCUGGAACAUCACGGCUGGUGGAGGAAGAGAUAGUCCUUCAUGGUGUAAAGAUUCCCCCUGACGUCACUGUAAUGUUCAAUUCAUACGUCAUGGGAAGGAUGGAGCGUUUUUUCCAGGACCCCCUUGUCUUCAACCCAGAUCGGUUCCACCCUGAUGCAGCCGAGCCGUACUUCUCAUAUUUUCCAUUUUCUCUGGGGCCUCGGGCCUGUGUUGGAAAA